This 868-nucleotide long non-coding RNA is filed under the name Sorghum bicolor (sorghum). Its description in RNAcentral is "long non-coding RNA (SBIC_LNC015423)". Lineage: Eukaryota; Viridiplantae; Streptophyta; Magnoliopsida; Poales; Poaceae. The record is from RNAcentral.
CUCAUGUUAAGAUUCAAACUUUAAAACUUUGACCAAUAAUUAGGCUAAUAAUUUCACUUUAUAUGAUUAGAUUUGUAAGUAAUUACACUAUCCAAUAAUCAUAAGUUCAUAAUCAUAAACAAUAUAACAUAGAGUAAAUAAAUGGUUAAAGUGUAAUCUAGGAGACUGUGUUAUCCCAACAUGUGUCUUAUAAAACUGAAUAGAGGGAGUAAUCAGCUACAAAGUUGUCAAACACGUAGAGAUCUACAAUUUUGAUAUAAAGUCUGUCUUCAUCAAAUACUAUAUGAAAAAUUAUAAUUGUUUUGAGCCAGCUAUGUCUAAAGACAAAUAGCUUAAGAGUAUUGUCUCUGCUAAGAGAUUUGUUAUUGUGCUUGGAUGUGGUUCCUCCGAAAAGAAUUAUCACUAACCAUUGAUCAAGCCAGAAAAAAAGCUUAAUUGUAAUUGAGGAUAUCAUAGUACUUUUACUCUGGCUAUUAACUCUAAUUAACAGUCAUCUUAUUUUGUCACAUGAAUAUGAGAAACACGGCUUAUCAACUAUUGUACGGUGUGUUGAUAAGUUCAAACUAAGAGAGCCGGUCUCACGCCUGCCCUAGGGAUGGGGACGGUGCUCCAAACGAGUACUCAUAGUUCUUCUCUAGUAUAACUAAAUGAACUAAAUGAAAAAAAUAAAAGAAAAAAAUAUUUAUUUAGUUUAUUUAAUUAGAUUAGAGAAGAACCGCAGAUAUCUAUUUAGAGAGUCACCGUCAUCUUUAGUCUGCCCUGGUGCUCGCCUUGGCGCCGGCCGCUCUGAGGCCUGUCUUUCUCAGGGCUCACGGCCACAGGAGCAGGGGCCUCAAGUGGUCGUCACCGCUUGCAGUAGGAUCUGGCC